Molecule: long non-coding RNA, 2794 nt
Organism: Pangasianodon hypophthalmus (striped catfish)
Lineage: Eukaryota; Metazoa; Chordata; Actinopteri; Siluriformes; Pangasiidae
Exons: 3
Source: RefSeq, a predicted model, not a curated record
UAGAGCUUCAGCAUCUAGUGUUACGCAGACCGCCGGCUGUGAUCAUAACCCGACUGUAGUGCGCACUGAGAACAGCUGCUGAAGUCAUUACCCAUGACCACAAUGCUCUUUUUGUUCUCCGUGUCAGAAUGGUUUUGGCAUUUACAUCUGGACGCUCGGCUUCGAUCUCCAUCCAGACCAGUGUGGGGAAAGACAGGGAGGAGAUGAGGUCACACUCGGGACAUUGCUGUCAGUAAUUGAAUGCUCCUGAAUCUGACAAACCCUUUCAAAUGAGAAUGGGAAGAAUCACAACAGAGAUGUGCCUGUAUGACUCAAACUGUCAUGCCAAUUUCCCAGAGGAAACCUGGUGUGAGAUAAUCUGCUGUUCAGCUCUUUAGAUAAUCAGAUAAGUGGUAAAUAUCUAUGCACUGACAUUUAGCCAACAACAAUCUUUAUUAUAGACUUUAUAGUCUCUAUUACGGUGUCUGUAAUCUCUAGUAUAGUCUCUAUUAUAGUCUCUAUUAUAGUCUCUAUUACAGUGCGUGUAAUCUCUAUUAUAGUCUCUAUUAUAGUCUCUAUUACAGUGUGUGUAGUCUCUAUUAUAGUCUCUAUUAUAGUCUCUAUUACAGUGUCUGUAGUCUCUAUUAUAGUCUCUAUUACAGUGUGUGUAAUCUCUAGUAUAGUCUCUAUUAUAGUCUCUAUUACAGUGUCUGUAGUCUCUAUUAUAGUCUCUAUUACAGUGUGUGUAAUCUCUAGUAUAGUCUCUAUUAUAGUCUCUAUUACAGUGUCUAUUAUAAUCUCUAUUACAGUCUCUAUUACAGACUCUACAGUCUCUACUACACCCUAUAUUAUAGGCUCUAUAGUUUAUUAUGGACUCUACAGUCUCUUUUACACUCUAUUAUAAUCUCGAUUACACUCUAUAACAGUCUCUAUAGUCUCUAUUACAGACUCUAUAGCCUCUAUUACAGACUCCACAGUCUACAGACUCUAUAGUCUCUGUAGUUUAUUACAGACUCUAUAGUCUCUAUUACAGUCUCUAUAGUUUAUUACAGACUCUAUAGUCUCUAUUACAGUCUCUAUAGUUUAUUACAGACUCUAUAGCCUCUAUUACAGUCUCUAUAGUUUAUUACAGACUCUAUAGUCUCUAUUACAGUCUCUAUAGUUUAUUACAGACUCUAUAGUCUCUAUUACAGUCUCUAUAGUUUAUUACAGACUCUAUAGCCUCUAUUACAGUCUCUAUAGUUUAUUACAGACUCUAUAGCCUCUAUUACAGUCUCUAUAGUUUAUUACAGACUCUAUAGCCUCUAUUAUAGUCUCUAUAGUUUAUUACAGACUCUAUAGCCUCUAUUAUAGUCUCUAUAGUUUAUUACAGACUCUAUAGUCUCUAUUACAGUCUCUAUAGUUUAUUACAGACUCUAUAGUCUCUAUUACAGUCUCUAUAGUUUAUUACAGACUCUAUAGUCUCUAUUACAGUCUCUAUAGUUUAUUACAGACUCUAUAGUCUCUAUUACAGUCUCUAUAGUUUAUUACAGACUCUAUAGCCUCUAUUACAGACUCCACAGUCUACAGACUCUAUAGUCUCUACUACACUCUAUAUUAUAGUCUCUAUAGUUUAUUACAGAAUCUAUAGUCUCUAUUACAGACUCCACAGUCUACAGACUCUAUAGUCUCUACUACACUCUAUAUUAUAGUCUCUAUAGUUUAUUACAGAAUCUAUAGUCUCUACUACACUCUAUAUUAUAGUCUCUAUAGUUUAUUACAGACUCUAUAGCCUCUAUUACAGACUCCACAGUCUACAGACUCUAUAAUCUCUACUACACUCUAUAUUAUAGUCUCUAUAGUUUAUUACAGAAUCUAUAGUCUCUAUUACACUCUAUAUUAUAGGCUCUAUAGUUUACUACAGACUCUACAGUCUCUAUUACAGACUCCACAGUCUACAGACUCUACAGUCUCUAUUACACUCUAUAUUAUGGUCUCUAUUAUAGACUCCACAGUCUCUUUUACAGUCUCUAUAGUUUCUGUUACACUAUUAUAGUCUAUUUCACUGUCAGUGAUAGAGACUAUAAUAGAGACUAUAGAGAAUACAGUAUGUUGUACUUUAUAGUCUCUAAUACAGUCUUUAUAGUCUCUAUUAUAUACUCUAUUGCAGUCUCUAUUACAGUCCCUACACACUAAUUUUGCAGUCACUGUUACAGUCUUUACAGUUUCUAUCACAAUUUAUAUUUUUUUACAGUGAAUACAAUCUUUAUUAUAGUCUUUAUUACAAUCUCUUGCUGUCUCUAUACUCUCUUUAUUACAUUCUUUAUUACAGACUAUAAAUUGUAUUACAGUCUUUGUUAGAUUAUCUAUAGUCUUUCUUGCAGGCUUUGUUACAGUCUCUGUUAAAAGUUUCUAAAAUGUAAACUAGUCUUCAUAGUCUGUACUACAGUACAUUAUAUCAGUCUGUAUUAUAAACUAGAUAUGUGCUAUUAGAGGCAAAAUAAUCUACAGUAUAUUACAAUUUGCAAAGCAGUCACUAUAGUUUAUUACAGCCUCCUUUAUAAUCUUUAUAAUCAUUUAUUAGUCCUUCAUGAUAGAAGGACGUUUUGAAGUAUGAGAAGAAGUAGAAGUAGAUACUGUAGGGAAACACUCUUUUACUGAUGCACCCACAGAUUAAACCAGGCAUGUCUCUCUCAUAUACUGAGAUUGUGCUGCCAUCUAGUGUUACAUUUAGACAUUUAAAUUCACUUUAUAAGUUCAUUACACAUCAAUAAAGCUUCAAACAAAGAUUUAUAAUCUCAUGGGUUCCCUUUUGAGUCUCAAAUUUUCCUCUUCG